Molecule: transfer RNA, 84 nt
Filed under: Methanoculleus sp.
Lineage: Archaea; Methanobacteriati; Methanobacteriota; Methanomicrobia; Methanomicrobiales; Methanomicrobiaceae
Also listed under: 1 other name
Description: tRNA-Leu
Rfam family: tRNA
About the family: Transfer RNA (tRNA) molecules are approximately 80 nucleotides in length. Their secondary structure includes four short double-helical elements and three loops (D, anti-codon, and T loops).
Source: RNAcentral
GCGAGGGUAGCCAAGCUGGUCAAAGGCGGUGGACUCAAGAUCCAUUCUCGCAGGAGUUCGCGGGUUCGAAUCCCUCCCCUCGCA